CUCUUAGAUGUUCUGGGCUGCACGCGUGCUACAAUGAAGCGUCCAACAAGAUGCGAAGCCGAAAGGCUCAGCGGAUCUUUGAAGUCGUUUCGUGACCGGGACAGUUGAUUGCAAUUAUUCGACUCGAACGAGGAAUUCCUUGUAAUCGCGAUUCAUCAUAUCGCGCUGAAUACGUCCCUGCCCUUUGUACACACCGCCCGUCGUUCCUACCGAUUGAGCGAUCCGGUGAAUUAUUUGGAGUGUCCACGCAAGCCAAUCCGUUUACGUGGGUGCGAAAUUUUGUAAACCUUAUCGCUUAGAGGAAGGAAAANUCGUANCA
This 319-nucleotide ribosomal RNA is filed under the name uncultured eukaryote. Its description in RNAcentral is "partial 18S ribosomal RNA". It matches the Rfam family "Eukaryotic small subunit ribosomal RNA", at positions 1470 to 1796 of the family's 1831-position model. The record is from RNAcentral.